RNAcentral lists this long non-coding RNA (447 nucleotides) under Androctonus crassicauda. The record is from RNAcentral. Lineage: Eukaryota; Metazoa; Arthropoda; Arachnida; Scorpiones; Buthidae.
GAUUUAAUAAGUGAGUUUUCUAUUAUCAAAUGAAUAAUACUAUAAGGAAAAAAAUUAAAUAUAGCAGAUUAGUAUAUUUAUCAGUAUAUGUAACAAAUUUGGCACCAUUGGGAAAAAAGAUUGGAGUAACUGAUGUGGAAAAUAGCCAAGCUAUGUCUCAUUCUUCGAUGAUGGGCCAGAUUGUGACACAUUCUCCUCCUCGAAGAAGGCAUCAAGAGUUGAUUGGAGAGCUCAGAAUUUUUUUUUUUUAAUAUAUGUCUGACAAAUAGCACUACAAGUGUAACGAAUCAGUGGUGUUCGGGGUAAUGUUAAAAAGGGACAUAUCUGUAUAUAAAUAGUAUAAAAAAUUCAAAUUUCUGAAAUUAGCAGUUUCUUGUUUCGUUAAUACUUUCCUCAUCUGCACAAAUCGAAAUUUUUUCUGUUGAAAUAUCAGAACAUGAACUACAC